GGAGACUGUGGCUCAGUGGGAAUAGUAGUUGUCUUGCAAUACAAAAGCUGUGGGUUCGAUUCCAGCUUCCUCCU
Crenichthys baileyi (White River springfish) is the source of this 74-nucleotide non-coding RNA. NCBI's taxonomy places the organism in Eukaryota, Metazoa, Chordata, Actinopteri, Cyprinodontiformes, Goodeidae. The record is from the annotation of a GenBank genome assembly.